This 1118-nucleotide long non-coding RNA is filed under the name Manihot esculenta (cassava). RNAcentral's name for it is "long non-coding RNA (MESC_LNC008198)". Lineage: Eukaryota; Viridiplantae; Streptophyta; Magnoliopsida; Malpighiales; Euphorbiaceae. The record is from RNAcentral.
UCUGCACAGCAAAGGACUACACAUGAGAAAGAAAAAAGCAGCAGAAACUAACGCAGUAUGUGAAAAUCUGCAUGAUACCAAUUCAUAGGAUAGUCAAAUGCAAAAAACAAUAGCAGGAUUAAGGUAGCUCAGGACAUGUAAAAAUUAAUAAGAAAAAUACAAAUACUAUUCAAGCUUAACUGAGGAGCUCAGGGCAGGGUCCGCGCUUGGAAUUUUCACAUUUACACCUAAUUAGGCCUGGCCACUGGUUCGAUCCAGGCUGAUUCAGAGCCUGGCCAGGAAAUAAACCAGAAUGGUAGGCCAUAGUUCCACCGUUGGCUUUGGAAAGCAUUUGAGCCACAUGGCGCCCUCUAAAGCCGCCACCUUUUUUCCUUCGAAAAAGAAAAAGAAUGACUUGACCAGAAGUUUGAACUGCCAGUUUCAGUUCAGAGGACCCCUUAAUGCCCUCCUGGAUGCUGCUUCAGGGCUGGUCCAGGCCAAUGAACAGUUGAUCUUGGCCUGUCCUGGCAAGGUUUACAGGUUGAACAGGUGCCUAGAUGGACCUACAGCUACUGUUUCUCCUCACAUGAAUUGGUUUUUACUUGGGCAUUAGAAAAUUUUGAGGAAGCAAUUUUUAGGUAGCCACGUAACCACAACUUGUACUUUAUGGUUGAGGAUCAGCUUUAACCAUUGGGACCAUAAAUGUAUCAAACGAAUAUACAAAGUACUUAUGUUCCGCAACCAUAUAUGCAUAGCCAUUUGGAGCGUAUAGCCAUAGGAUGAAGAAAUGCACAAAUACAUGCACAUAGGAUGAAGAAAUGCACAAAUACAUGCACAUUUGCAAGCAUAACUGAAAGGAAAUCCCUUUUAGUUGCUUUGCAGAGCAAGCGCAAGCAUAGUAUUUUCAAGUAUAUCAACUCCCAAUUCUAUACUGGAAAGGCUGAAAAAAUAGUAAGAGGAAUGUCAUGAGUAAAUGGCAGGAGAGGAAAUUUAUAACAGAACUCUCCCUAACCGCGUCUUUACUUUGACAGCUCCAUACUUCAGGUAAUUUCCAUAAUGCACAAGACUAAUGUCACGUCAAAAAGGGCAAAAAAAAAAAGUAAAAAUGUAAGUAAUUUACGACUUAUAGUUGCCAAGAU